GGAAGGGUCUGAAGAUGUCCCAGGAGUGUCUUGGGUUGCCCAGGGGGUGCUCAUGUGGGUCUGGGGAGUCCUGGAGCCAUCCAGAAGGGUCUGGUUAUGUCCCAGAGAGGACUUGGAGGGUCUGGGCGGUGCUUAGGUGGGUUCAGAGGGUCCUGUUGUCUUCUGGAAGGGUCUGAAGAUGUCCCAGAUGUGUCCUGGGUGUCCAAGGGGUGCUGUCACUGAGCCUCCCACUGUCCUUUGUCACCCCUCCAGGCCUGCCUGCAGCCGGACCCGGUGACACCGGAGCCCUCUGGCGCUGUCACCAUCCUCUGUCCCGAGGACGGGAGGUGAACUGUGUGCCACCAGCAGAGGGGACCACGGGUGACAUCAGUGUGGAACAGCCGUGACGCGGCGGCGUUGUCAUUGGGUGUCACCGUCACGCAGAGGGGACAAAAGGACCCCCCUGGGGGCAUUGCGUCGAAGUUGGGGACACCGUGAGCAGCUUGAGGACUUCCCAGGGGAAGUGGGGGCACCGCGUCACCGUGUCACACCCCAAAGGUGGGGACGCCCCCACAGUGUCACACCCCAAAGUUGGGGGCACCCCUGUAGUUUCACACCCCGAAGUUGGAAAAACCCCCACAGUGUCACACCCCAAAGUUGGGGACACCUCUGUGUCACCCCAAUGGUGUCCGACCCAAAGCUGGGGACACUCCACAGUGUCACACCCCAAAGUUGGGGACGCCCCGACAGUGUCACAUCUCAAAUUUGGGACAGCUCUGUGUCCCCCCAAUGGUGUCAGACCCCAAAGUUGGGGACGCCCCCACAGUGUCACAGCCCAAAGUUGGGGUCUGUCCCAGAGGUGGGAGUGCCCCCACAUCCCCACCAUGGCGUCACAUCCCAAAGUUGGGGACCCCCAUCUGGGGACCCAUUCUGUGCUCCCCCAAUUGCAGACAGCACUGUUCCCAUGGGGUGGGGGCGGGGGGCACCCUUUAUUUUUGGGAUUAAGGUUUAUUUCAUGAUAACGGGGGGUUGGGGAAUGCCCCCCCAUGUGAAUAAAGGGCGGAGGAGCGGCUGUGGGGCUCCGUGUGUAACACCGGGGGGUGCUUUGGGGACACUGCAGCAUCCCAGCCCCAUAGCCCCCAUGGCCCUAUAACCACUACAGCCCCAUCUCGUAGCCAUCCCAUAUCCAUAUCCCAUCCCAUAUCCCAUCCUGUAUCCAUAACCCUUCCAAUAUCCAAACCACCAUAUCCGUCCCACACCCAUAGCCCAAAUCCAUCCCAUAUCCGUAUCCCAAAUCCAUCCCGUAUCCAUACCCCAUCCCAUAUCCGUAUCCCAUCCCAUAUCUCAUCCCCUAUCCAUAUCCCAUCCCAACUCCAUGCCAAAUCUCUUUCUAUAUCCACAUCACCUUAUCCAUCCCAUAACCAUCCCAAAUCCAUCUCAAAUCCAUAUCUCAUCCCAGACCGAUCCCAUCUCCUUAUCCAUCCCGUAUCAAUGUCCCAUCCCUUAUCCAAUCCCAUACCCCAUCCUACAGCCAUCCCACAUCCAUACCCGCACAUCCCAUAUCCUAUCCCCAUCCUGUACCCCAUGUCCCAUAUCCAUUUCCAUCCCACAGCCUUCCCGAAUCCAUAUCCCCGCAUCCAUCCCGUGUCCACCCCAUAUCCAUUCCGUAUACUUAUCCCAUCCUAUGAUCAUCCCAAUCCCAUCCCAUAUCCAUAUCCCAUCCCAACUCCACCCCAUAUCGUUCCCAUACCUUUGCCAAGUCUGUCCCGUACCCGUAUACCCACUUCCCGCAUCCCAUUCCCAAUCCCAACCCCAAUCCCAAUCCCAAUCCCACACCUCAUUCCCAAUCCCACAUGCGAAUCCCGUAUCCCGCAUCCCAAUCCCUAUCCCGAAUCCCAAUGCCAAUCCCACAUCCCAGCCCCAUGUACUGUGUGUCAAUCUAUCGCAAUCCCAACUCUCAUAUCGCAGUCCUAACCCCAAUCCCACACCCCAAUCCCAAUCCCAAUGCCAUCCCCUAUUGCAAUAGGGCACACUCCGGGCCCCUCCCGCAGCUCCGUCCCGCCCCCAUCUUCUCAUUGGCUGAGGUGCAGCUCCGUCCCGCCCCCGGCCUCUCAUUGGUCAGGUGCAGCUCCGUCCCGGCCCCGGCCUCUCAUUGGCUGAGCCGCAGUUCCAUCCUGCCUCCAGCCUCUCAUUGGUCAGGUUCAGCUCCGUCCCGCCGCCGGCCUCUCAUUGGCUGAGGCGCAGCCCAGUCCCG
This 2233-nucleotide long non-coding RNA is filed under the name Gallus gallus (chicken). Its description in RNAcentral is "lncRNA (ENSGALG00010000771.1)". The record is from RNAcentral. Lineage: Eukaryota; Metazoa; Chordata; Aves; Galliformes; Phasianidae.